GGGUGGUUAACUCAGUGGCAGAGUGCCUCGUUUACACCGAGGAAGUCGAAGGUUCAAAUCCUUCAUUACCUA
RNAcentral lists this transfer RNA (72 nucleotides) under Candidatus Hodgkinia cicadicola. Its description in RNAcentral is "tRNA-Val". It matches the Rfam family "tRNA". From Rfam's summary of the family: Transfer RNA (tRNA) molecules are approximately 80 nucleotides in length. Their secondary structure includes four short double-helical elements and three loops (D, anti-codon, and T loops). Further hydrogen bonds mediate the characteristic L-shaped molecular structure. tRNAs have two regions of fundamental functional importance: the anti-codon, which is responsible for specific mRNA codon recognition, and the 3' end, to which the tRNAs corresponding amino acid is attached (by aminoacyl-tRNA synthetases). tRNAs cope with the degeneracy of the genetic code in two manners: having more than one tRNA (with a specific anti-codon) for a particular amino acid; and 'wobble' base-pairing, i.e. permitting non-standard base-pairing at the 3rd anti-codon position. The record is from RNAcentral. Lineage: Bacteria; Pseudomonadati; Pseudomonadota; Alphaproteobacteria; Hyphomicrobiales.